RNAcentral lists this long non-coding RNA (661 nucleotides) under Glycine max (soybean). Its description in RNAcentral is "long non-coding RNA (GMAX_LNC002472)". The record is from RNAcentral. Lineage: Eukaryota; Viridiplantae; Streptophyta; Magnoliopsida; Fabales; Fabaceae.
CAAUUAAGAAAAUAGUUAAUGCAAUAAAAUAUUGCAUAUACAUUUAUUGUAUCUGGUUCCACCAUUUGAUUAUAUAUAGUAUUCUUGGAAAACAUAUUUUUACGAAUAAGAUGGACUCUUCAAUGUAUUCAGUUGGCAAGUUGGCAAUCUUAUUAGCUUUCUUCAUCGUAGCUUCAGGUGAGAAAUGAUGUUUUAUUUUGAUCCUCUCUAAUGAGUCUCAUCUCUCAACUCAAAUGAGUCAUUUUCCUACGCAUUACAUUUUGAUUUUUGACUCAAACAAAAUUUUUCACAUGUUACAUAAAAUUAAUGUUGUUCUUAUGAUUAUUUGGGAAUGCAGAUGUGUGCAUGGAAUCAGAAGCACUUGGAAAGGGCUGCGACUUCGACUUCGAGUGUCGAUAUGGAUGUCAAAAUGUUCCAAAUUGUGGCUGCAAAGUGAAAUGUAUUAACCACAUAUGUCGGUGUCCAAGGUCAACAACCUCCAACAAUAAUUUUCUUAAUCGAGGCCCCCCUAAAUUGAGUGCCGAGAUCUUGUGAUGCAAUUAUCAUGUGCUUGAUAUUCAUUGUUUUUUAUAAUGAAUAGUGAAUGAUUGCAUGCAUGUUGAUUUGUACCCAAACAUUCCAUCAUGAAUGCCAAAUAAAACUUAAGCUUUGCUUUCUUCUU